AGGACGAACGCUGGCGGCGUGCUUAACACAUGCAAGUGGAGCGACGAACCAGGGCUUGCCCUGGGGCAGAGCCGCGAACGGGUGAGUAACACGUGGGUUACCUGCCUCGAUGACCGGGACAACCCGAGGAAACUCGGGCUAAUACCGGAUGUGCCCGCAAGGGGAAAGGAAGCUUCGGCCUCCGCAUCGAGAUGGGCCCGCGGCCCAUUAGCUUGUUGGUGAGGUAACGGCUCACCAAGGCUUCGAUGGGUAGCUGGUCUGAGAGGACGAUCAGCCACACUGGGACUGAGACACGGCCCAGACUCCUACGGGAGGCAGCAGUGGGGAAUCUUGCGCAAUGCGCGAAAGCGUGACGCAGCAACGCCGCGUGGGGGAAGAAGGCUUUCGGGUUGUAAACCCCUUUCAGUUGGGACGAAGCGAAAGUGACGGUACCUGCAGAAGAAGCGCCGGCUAACUACGUGCCAGCAGCCGC
This 472-nucleotide ribosomal RNA is filed under the name uncultured bacterium. RNAcentral's name for it is "SSU rRNA". It matches the Rfam family "Bacterial small subunit ribosomal RNA", at positions 26 to 518 of the family's 1533-position model. The record is from RNAcentral.